UCCCUGGUGGCUCAGCAGUAAAGAAUCUGCCUGCGAAGCAGGAGUUGCAAGAGACAGAGGUCCGAUCCCUGGAUCAGGAAA
Parelaphostrongylus tenuis is the source of this 81-nucleotide non-coding RNA. NCBI's taxonomy places the organism in Eukaryota, Metazoa, Nematoda, Chromadorea, Rhabditida, Metastrongylidae. The record is from the annotation of a GenBank genome assembly.